Non-coding RNA from Triticum urartu, 126 nucleotides. NCBI's taxonomy places the organism in Eukaryota, Viridiplantae, Streptophyta, Magnoliopsida, Poales, Poaceae. The record is from Rfam.
GAUGUAUCCGGAAAUACUUGUCAUCAAAAUGAAUAAAAGGAGAUGCAUCUAGACGUAUUUUAGUUCUAGAUACAUCCCCUUUCAUCCAUUUUGAUGACAAGUAUUUUCGGACGAAUGGAGUAGUUU